AGAGCGAACGCUGGCGGCAGGCCUAAAACAUGCAAGUCGAACGCCGUAGCAAUACGGAGUGGCAGACGGGUGAGUAACACGUGGGAACGUACCCUUUGGUUCGGAACAACACAGGGAAACUUGUGCUAAUACCGGAUAAGCCCUUACGGGGAAAGAUUUAUCGCCGAAGGAUCGGCCCGCGUCUGAUUAGCUAGUUGGUGAGGUAAAGGCUCACCAAGGCUACGAUCAGUAGCUGGUCUGAGAGGAUGACCAGCCACAUUGGGACUGAGACACGGCCCAAACUCCUACGGGAGGCAGCAGUGGGGAAUCUUGCGCAAUGGGCGAAAGCCUGACGCAGCCAUGCCGCGUGUAUGAUGAAGGUCUUAGGAUUGUAAAAUCUUUCACCGGUGAAGAUAAUGACUGUAGCCGGAGAAGAAGCCCGGCUAACUUCGUGCCAGCAGCCGC
Molecule: ribosomal RNA, 444 nt
Filed under: uncultured soil bacterium
Lineage: Bacteria
Description: bacterial SSU rRNA
Rfam family: Bacterial small subunit ribosomal RNA
Source: RNAcentral